UACGUAGGGGGCUAGCGUUGUCCGGAAUCAUUGGGCGUAAAGCGCGCGUAGGCGGAUCUGCAAGUCGGGGGUGAAAUCCCGGGGCUCAACCUCGGAACUGCCUUCGAUACUGCGGGUCUCGAGUCCGGGAGAGGUGAGUGGAAUUCCUAGUGUAGAGGUGAAAUUCGUAGAUAUUAGGAAGAACACCAGUGGCGAAGGCGGCUCACUGGCCCGGUACUGACGCUGAGGCGCGAAAGCGUGGGGAGCAAACAGG
Molecule: ribosomal RNA, 253 nt
Filed under: uncultured bacterium
Lineage: Bacteria
Description: partial 16S ribosomal RNA
Rfam family: Bacterial small subunit ribosomal RNA
Source: RNAcentral